ACAGCCCUGCUGUGUGCGAGAGCUACUGUAUUUUUUGAGCCAACACCGAUGAAGAGGGAGCCAGGCUCCGGUUGUGGCGAAUAGGCCCCAACUUAGGUUCGGGGGACAUUCAAAGUAGUCGGGCGGGCACCCACCUGCCGAGGGCAGGUUCAAAAAAUAUGGUCAUACGGCACGGUGGGGCAGCU
Molecule: non-coding RNA, 185 nt
Filed under: Bacillota bacterium
Lineage: Bacteria; Bacillati; Bacillota
Description: 6S RNA
Rfam family: 6S / SsrS RNA
About the family: E. coli 6S RNA was the first non coding RNA to be sequenced, but its function was unknown until recently. It consists of 184 nucleotides that fold into an extended hairpin structure with a large single-stranded internal bulge.
Source: RNAcentral